This is a non-coding RNA of Pelobates cultripes (western spadefoot toad), 159 nucleotides long. NCBI's taxonomy places the organism in Eukaryota, Metazoa, Chordata, Amphibia, Anura, Pelobatidae. The record is from the annotation of a GenBank genome assembly.
GCUGACACAUCCCAGCCAAUCUCCAGCAGACCCUCCCUCCCAGACCCUCCCACCUCCUGGACAGCAUCCAUGUUGAAGCUGCCUUCAACAUGGAUGCUGUCCAGGAGGUGGGAGGGUCUGGGAGGGAGGGUCUGCUGGAGAUUGGCCGGGAUGUGUCAG